GAUGAAGACGCAGCGAACGUGCGAAACGUAAUGUGAAUUGCAGAAUUCAGUGAAUCAUCGAAUCUUUGAACGCAUCUUGCGCUCCUUGGUAUUCCGAGGAGCAUGCCUGUUUGAGUGUCGUGAAUACUCUCAACUUCAACCCUUUUUUCGGAAAGGGAGGAAGGUUGGACUUGGGUGUUUGUUGAAGUGCGAGCUUCGACUCAUCCUAAAUGCAUUAGCGAUCUGCCUCGAUCACACACAAUGUGAUAAUUAAAACUAAAGCAUUGUUUAAUGAUCAAGUCGAGACUGCUUCUAACUGUCGCAAGACAAUAACGUGCAUACAUUUGUGCAUGUCAUUUGACCUCAAAUCAGGUAGGACUACCCGCUGAACUUAAGCAUAUCAAUAAGCGGAGGA
This 394-nucleotide unclassified non-coding RNA is filed under the name soil metagenome. RNAcentral describes it as "partial contains 5.8S ribosomal RNA, internal transcribed spacer 2, and large subunit ribosomal RNA". The stretch from base 1 to 120 matches the Rfam family "5.8S ribosomal RNA", at positions 35 to 154 of the family's 154-position model. The record is from RNAcentral.